RNAcentral lists this transfer RNA (77 nucleotides) under Rhodospirillaceae bacterium. RNAcentral's name for it is "tRNA-Arg". It matches the Rfam family "tRNA". Rfam says of the family: Transfer RNA (tRNA) molecules are approximately 80 nucleotides in length. Their secondary structure includes four short double-helical elements and three loops (D, anti-codon, and T loops). Further hydrogen bonds mediate the characteristic L-shaped molecular structure. tRNAs have two regions of fundamental functional importance: the anti-codon, which is responsible for specific mRNA codon recognition, and the 3' end, to which the tRNAs corresponding amino acid is attached (by aminoacyl-tRNA synthetases). tRNAs cope with the degeneracy of the genetic code in two manners: having more than one tRNA (with a specific anti-codon) for a particular amino acid; and 'wobble' base-pairing, i.e. permitting non-standard base-pairing at the 3rd anti-codon position. The record is from RNAcentral. Lineage: Bacteria; Pseudomonadati; Pseudomonadota; Alphaproteobacteria; Rhodospirillales; Rhodospirillaceae.
GCGCCCUUAGCUCAGCCGGAUAGAGCAACCGCCUUCUAAGCGGUAGGUCAGUGGUUCGAGUCCACUAGGGCGCGCCA